CCCGGACCGCCCGCCAGGCUAAGGACAACCAAGACCGAUCGGAGGGGCCUUCUGCAGGGACAGGAGAACACAAGAUGAUGCCUGAAAGUGAACUGCGUAAAUUAGCUGGCUGGAGUAGAGGAAAGUCAGUCAUUAUGUCGGAAAGGCAGGCUGACCUCUGAGGAGGAAGGGGAGAGGUGGAGGAGAGGAGGGCAAGGAGAGGGAGAUGGGAGGGGAAAACGCCUGGCAGAGGCUACACGAUGUCCACACUGAGAAAUCGGGGUGAAGGGUAGAUGGUGUUCUUUGUGUUAUUUUCCAACAUUUCGUAAAUCUGAAAUUACAUCAAAACGAAAAUGGAAAUGGCAGUGGAGCUCCUUUUCGCCUCCACCUGGUAACUCAAGACGGUGCUAUGUGGAACUGUCUACAAGGAGCUAUGAGGAACUAUGAGGAACGCGUGACUCAGCGGGGCCCUCGGGGCCACUGGAACCGUGGGGGCCUGUGCCCCUGUGCCCCAGCAAGCACUAUCUCCGCCAACACUAUCUGUGCUGAAGGCAGCUGCCUGCAGGCUCUGUCCCCUCCCAGUCAAGUGCUCUAAUCUUUAGCUCCAGGCUCAGAAAUGCAGCCCUCUGAGUGCCAUUACAGGUGAAAAAGCUCCAGUCCACAAGGGUGAGACCAUCAAAGGCGUCUACUGGGCUGUAAUGCAUGAUGACUUUUCAGAUGACCCAAGACCACGGGGAGCAGAGACAGAGCUGAACGGUCUGAACGCCCUUUCCUGCGGUGCCGUGCUGGCCUGACCCUCACACAACCCGAGAGUGAGCGGCCCUCGGCACGGCUGAGCAUGUCGUUAAGUAUUUUAGUUUACCGAGUGGCUGGCUGCACUGCCCGAAGUUUGGAUAAUGACUCAUCGGUGACAACUGAGAGCAUGCCAGUAAGUCAUCUGAAACCAGAUCUGGCUCAGGACCGACAACAGAAUGCUCGGAGUGCCUGGUCCUCCUAAAGAUUUCAAACGCUCGGGCUUUUCCCCAGGAAUUGGAGCCCUUCCACCAUGUUUCAUCCUCCCGGUGACGGCCCUGGAGGAAGGACACGGCAGGGACAACCUGAACUUGACCGCACAGCAGCUACACUGGAGCAGUGGCAUCCUCGCUGAGCCAGGGCAGAGGGACAGCACCUUCUAACUCCAUCUUUUCAUGGGCUCUCAGAAGAAACGCACAUUUAUAUCAAACUGACGUAACUCCACAUCAUGUUCUUCAAUAUUUGGAGGGAAAAAGAGUAUGUUUCCUAAUUUUGGAAAAAAGUAUUUCUUAAAUGAAUUUUAACUGCACAUAAUAAACUCUUCAGAUCCCAAA
This is a long non-coding RNA of Tupaia belangeri chinensis (Chinese tree shrew), 1325 nucleotides long. RefSeq lists it as uncharacterized. The transcript is spliced from 3 exons. The record is from RefSeq and is a predicted model, not a curated record. Lineage: Eukaryota; Metazoa; Chordata; Mammalia; Scandentia; Tupaiidae.